Molecule: long non-coding RNA, 1971 nt
Filed under: Mytilus galloprovincialis (Mediterranean mussel)
Lineage: Eukaryota; Metazoa; Mollusca; Bivalvia; Mytilida; Mytilidae
Source: RNAcentral
AUUAACUUAUAUUUACAUAUUUUCUGUUUACUUAUAUUUGUAAACUGAGAUUCUUUUUUUUUUAUAUAGAUCUGUCUUUUCUGAUAUUAAGCAUAUCUUUCUCAUAAUGUGCAUAAUUAGUGUCUUUUUACAAUAUUCUAUUAUUCUAUAAUCUUGAAUUAUAUGCAGGAAUUUAUCAUUAAGUGUCGUUUUUUUGACAUUUUACGAGAUUCAUAAUCUCCAUUUCAAAAAAUAAUAUUGAAUUAUGACCUUUAUUAUGACUGUCUAUAAAAACUUUAAACAAAAAGAAAGCAGUAAAGCUAAAAUCAAACAUCAUUAUUCAAAAAAUUUAGUUGUAUCAAAGUCGAGCUUGUAGUAGUUUAAAAUGAGCAAAUCAGACGUAAAUAUUUAAAUUUAUCUAUAUAUCAUAUGUUAUGGUGACGAAACACAAAAAGAAAGUGAUUUUCAUAUAUUUUUUUUUAAUUUUGAUUUAGUUAUGUUAUUUAUAUAAAAAUUUAAUGAAUAAUUCUUGAUUAAAAUAAGUCAAAUAGAAACAUUCUAUUUUUAGAUUAGUUGUUUUCAGUCAGUCAUCUGGGUAUGUUUAAUUGUGAUUCAACUUUUUUUCUAGUCCUUCAACGUGUGUCUCAAAACCUGUGAAAGUAAAACUUGCCAGAAAUUAUUUUUUUUCUUUAGUUUUUAUACUGGGUUUUGUGUAGUUUUUAUGUAAAUGUUGAAAAAAAUUUACAAAAAAUAACAUAAAAUCUUAAAUUAUAGACUUUCAAAAAAAAUUUCUCGUCUAUUUUUCAAUAUAUUUUAUAUUCAUUGUCUGACUGAUCAAAGUAUUAAUAAUCAAUAUAUCGAAUCAAAAUGUGUAGUGUGCACAUAAAAAUGGCUUUUACAAGUAGAAAUUUAUCUAUAUAUCAUAUGUUAUGGUGACGAAACACGAAAAGAAAGUGAUUUUCAAAUUAUUUUUUUUUAAUUUUGAUUAAUUGAUCUUACUGCAUAAGAAUAUUUUUGAUUUCUUAUUAGUGCAAUGUCAAUUUACACAUUUGUUUUUAACAAUUGCCAAAAUAUUUUUUUAAAUAUUUGUAUUGAAAUAUUGAUUUAUUUCUGACAAGGCAAAGAUUUAAAAAAUUGCCAUUUUAACUCAUUUCAAAAUAUUAUGCAGAUAUCAUCAAAACUCAAAAUUGUAAAUUAUUAUGUGAUUUGUAUGUCUGUGAUGUUGUGUGUUUAUUAUAUAUUUUAUAUAUCUGAGUGCAAGAAAAUGAAUGGUGCAAUUGUUUUGUUAAAUUUUUUAGAUAUUGAUAAAAUGUAAAUAUGUAAAUACUGAUUAUAAUGUAAUUAUGUGUAUAUACGAAAACCUUUCCAGAUGUGCCAUGAUUUUGUAUAUAAAAAAUAUUGUACAAAAUCAUACCAUAUAAACCCCUAUGUAGGUAAUUAGGUUGUGAUUGUUUAAGAUUUAUUAAAUUUGGUAACAUUUAAAGAAACCAGAUUAAUUGGGUAGUGGAUUAGGCAUUCCCUUUUCUUGAUUUAUUAAAAUCAGUUUGAAAUGCAAAUUAAAUCUUGGUAAACUGUGAAUUCUCAUUUAGCCGAGAUGUGAAAAUUUUGGAGGGUAAAUGUUUCAACAGAUUCACUGAAUUUCAGCAGAAAUAUAAUGAAAUAUUUAUUAUGCCAAUUUAUAAUUCCAGUCGUCAGCAUUCCAAACAAAAUAUGUCUAAAAUGAAGAAACUUUCUUCAAAAAGGGGAGGGGAAGAAUGAUGAUCUUAAAUCUAUUCAAGGUUGACCUUUUGAACUACAAUGAAUCUUACGUCUUUGUUGAUUGUUAUAAAUUGUUUCACAUUCCACAUUGUUUUUAUAUGAUGUACAAAUGUUUUAAUACAUAUCAAAUUUUACUUUGUACAAUGCAUUUUAUAUACUAUUUUAAGAAUAAAAUUAUUUUUCUAUUCAGUGAUUUUUAUGCCUGCAUAAAUUACUGAGGAGGAAAAAUUUAUA